Molecule: ribosomal RNA, 257 nt
Filed under: uncultured Glomus
Lineage: Eukaryota; Fungi; Glomeromycota; Glomeromycetes; Glomerales; Glomeraceae
Description: partial 18S ribosomal RNA
Rfam family: Eukaryotic small subunit ribosomal RNA
Source: RNAcentral
AAGCUCGUAGUUGAAUUUCGGGUUAGUAGGUUGGUCAUGCCUCUGGUAUGUACUGGUCUCACUGAUUCCUCCUUCCUGAUGAACCGUAAUGCCAUUAAUUUGGUGUUGCGGGGAAUUUGGACUGUUACUUUGAAAAAAUUAGAGUGUUUAAAGCAAGCUAACGCUCAAAUACAUUAGCAUGGAAUAAUGAAAUAGGACGUUCGAUCCUAUUUUGUUGGUUUCUAGGAUUGACGUAAUGAUUAAUAGGGAUAGUUGGG